RNAcentral lists this ribosomal RNA (460 nucleotides) under uncultured ammonia-oxidizing beta proteobacterium. RNAcentral's name for it is "bacterial SSU rRNA". It matches the Rfam family "Bacterial small subunit ribosomal RNA", at positions 202 to 645 of the family's 1533-position model. The record is from RNAcentral. Lineage: Bacteria; Pseudomonadati; Pseudomonadota; Betaproteobacteria.
AAGCAGGGGAUCGUAAGACCUUGCGCUUUUGGAGCGGCCGAUGUCUGAUUAGCUAGUUGGUGGGGUAAUGGCCUACCAAGGCUACGAUCAGUAGCUGGUCUGAGAGGACGGCCAGCCACACUGGGACUGAGACACGGCCCAGACUCCUACGGGAGGCAGCAGUGGGGAAUUUUGGACAAUGGGCGCAAGCCUGAUCCAGCCAUGCCGCGUGAGUGAAGAAGGCCUUCGGGUUGUAAAGCUCUUUCAGCCGGGAAGAAAAGGUUGCGACUAAUAAUCGCAAUUCAUGACGGUACCGAAAGAAGAAGCACCGGCUAACUACGUGCCAGCAGCCGCGGUAAUACGUAGGGUGCGAGCGUUAAUCGGAAUUACUGGGCGUAAAGGGUGCGCAGGCGGUUUUGUAAGUCAGAUGUGAAAUCCCCGGGCUUAACCUGGGAACUGCGUUUGAAACUACAAAGCUUAG